CCUGGCGGCAGUAGCGCGGUGGUCCCACCUGACCCCAUGCCGAACUCAGAAGUGAAACGCCGUAGCGCCGAUGGUAGUGUAGGGUCUCCCCAUGCGAGAGUAGGGAACUGCCAGGC
Molecule: ribosomal RNA, 116 nt
Filed under: Escherichia coli
Lineage: Bacteria; Pseudomonadati; Pseudomonadota; Gammaproteobacteria; Enterobacterales; Enterobacteriaceae
Also listed under: 2 other names
Source: RNAcentral